RNAcentral lists this ribosomal RNA (247 nucleotides) under uncultured bacterium. RNAcentral's name for it is "partial 16S ribosomal RNA". It matches the Rfam family "Bacterial small subunit ribosomal RNA", at positions 526 to 772 of the family's 1533-position model. The record is from RNAcentral.
CGUAGGGGGCAAGCGUUAUCCGGAUUUACUGGGUGUAAAGGGAGCGUAGACGGCAGCACAAGUCUGAAGUGAAAUGCCGGGGCUUAACCCCGGAACUGCUUUGGAAACUGUGCAGCUAGAGUGCAGGAGAGGUAAGUGGAAUUCCUAGUGUAGCGGUGAAAUGCGUAGAUAUUAGGAGGAACACCAGUGGCGAAGGCGGCUUGCUGGACUGUAACUGACGUUGAGGCUCGAAAGCGUGGGGAGCAAA